Molecule: long non-coding RNA, 1155 nt
Organism: Acinonyx jubatus (cheetah)
Lineage: Eukaryota; Metazoa; Chordata; Mammalia; Carnivora; Felidae
Exons: 4
Source: RefSeq, a predicted model, not a curated record
UUGUAUUUUUAACACAUCUAAUGAGUAGACAAGCAGAAAAGCUGCCGUAAGCCAGGAAAUAUCACGGGGUUCAUGUUUGAACAGCAUCAGCUUUAUUUACUAAAAUACAGUUUUGAGUUCACAGACAAAAUGAACUUCCAGAAUGAUUUUCUUUAGCCCCAGCAAGUCAAGUCCUUCCCAGUCGUUAAUUGAUUGUAGAAAUGCAGUUCCAAGGUCUUCAUUUUUGUUUCAGUUUCUCCCACCACCUCUGCUGCAUUUGAUUUGCAAAAUCUCCCAGGUACCCUUAGCUACUAUGGCGGUGUCCUGAUACAGCAUAAGAUACCGACCCUUCAAUGAUGGAUGUUGUGAAAGCCAGCCUCGUGGACCACAGGCACCCUGAGAGGGAGGAUCAUGUGUCCACCCUUGUUUCCUCCACUGUCUGGAGCUGAGCCUGGAGCCCUCAUGGAAUAUUACAGAAUGGACAUAGGAGGGAAAGAACUGCUGUAUGCAAUGACAGCUUCCCUUGGAAAAAGCCUCUCCUUCAGUCACUAUUGUCCCAGUAAUGACAAGAGUAAUAUGUUAGACUUUUGUCUUAGUCAGGUGAAUGUUCAACAAAGAAGUAAAUCCAUGUGGCAGCAAGUUUGAGAUUCCGAGUCACAAGAGACCAUUUGGCCCGGAGAUGGCAGCAGGUCCCUGUCAAACACAGCUUCUCAAGAUGGCUGCCUGCCCGACACAGACUGAGCCACGAUGGGCGGAGCUUGCGGUAUGGAUUUUCCUGUGGAGCCACCUGCCCGGAAGGGUCCCAGAGAUCGUUUAAGGGGGUCCACAGAAGUGCCAAGGCGCUCACUGGCAACUUGAAAUUAGAGCUGAGAUUGACUUGGUGUUCCCGUGAUGUGGGUUUCAAGUCUGGCUGAAAUCAAAACUGCCUUGGAGGGCAUGCCUGGGAAUUUGCUAUUUUGUCUUGCAUAAACUUCUGAUAGUCACCCAGGCCUGCUGGUGCCCUAUUUCUUUAGAUGGUUUUAAUCCCAAACUGUGCUUCAAAUGUUCUACUGUUUUCCAGGGGUCAACAUUACUUCUCUUUCUUAGAACAUCGUUUAUGUAAUUACACUCACACACCUUUUAUAUUAGGACUGCAUGCUAUGUAGUGUCUUUCAGACCACAGUAAGACAAUGCCUC